GACGAACGCUGGCGGCGUGCUUAACACAUGCAAGUCGAACGGAAAGGCCUGCUUUCCCUUGUGUAUUGCGGGUACUCGAGUGGCGAACGGGUGAGUAACACGUGAGUGAUCUUCCCCCAACUUGGGUAUAAGCCUGGGAAACUGGGUCUAAUUCCCGAUAGGACUGCAGGGUGGUUCCUGUGGUGGAAAACGAUUUUCUAGUGGUUGGGGAUGAGCUCGCGGCCUAUCAGCUUGUUGGUUGGGUAAUGGCCUACCAAGGCGGCGACGGGUAGCCGGCCUGGGAGGGUGGACGGGCACAUUGGGACGGAGAUACGGCGCAGACGCCUACGGGAGGCAGCAGUGGGGAAGAAUGCACAAGGGGCGGAAGCCUGAUGCAGCGACGCCGCGUGGGGGAUGACGGGCUUCGGGUUGUAAACUCCUGUCGACAGAGAGGAAGCCACCUGGUUGGAAGGGUGGUGACGGUAGUGGUAGAAGAAGCACCGGCUAACUACGUG
Molecule: ribosomal RNA, 494 nt
Filed under: uncultured bacterium
Lineage: Bacteria
Description: partial 16S ribosomal RNA
Rfam family: Bacterial small subunit ribosomal RNA
Source: RNAcentral